This 468-nucleotide ribosomal RNA is filed under the name uncultured bacterium. RNAcentral describes it as "partial 16S ribosomal RNA". It matches the Rfam family "Bacterial small subunit ribosomal RNA", at positions 28 to 507 of the family's 1533-position model. The record is from RNAcentral.
GACGAACGCUGGCGGCGUGCUUAACACAUGCAAGUCGAACGGAAAGGCCCUGCUUUUGUGGGGUGCUCGAGUGGCGAACGGGUGAGUAACACGUGAGUAACCUGCCCUUGACUUUGGGAUAACUUCAGGAAACUGGGGCUAAUACCGGAUAGGAGCUCCUGCUGCAUGGUGGGGGUUGGAAAGUUUCGGCGGUUGGGGAUGGACUCGCGGCUUAUCAGCUUGUUGGUGGGGUAGUGGCUUACCAAGGCUUUGACGGGUAGCCGGCCUGAGAGGGUGACCGGCCACAUUGGGACUGAGAUACGGCCCAGACUCCUACGGGAGGCAGCAGUGGGGAAUAUUGCACAAUGGGCGGAAGCCUGAUGCAACAACGCCGCGUGCGGGAUGACGGCCUUCGGGUUGUAAACCGCUUUCGCCUGUGACGAAGCGUGAGUGACAGUAAUGGGUAAAGAAGCACCGGCUAACUACGUG